CCUCUAGAAUUCAUGGUCGGCAAUAUGCCCCAAAAAAUGUAAUACUUGUAAAAACGAUUUGCAAUGCUUGUAAAAAGUUCAUCUGUUUGAGUUGUUUCUCAAAACAUAUCCAAGCUUUGGAGAAAAAGAAAUGAAUGCAACUCUGCAAAGUAGAAAUAUUUAGUAGAUAGGCAAUAUUAUAGUGGAAGUACAUUUUGAAUUAUUAUUAUUAUUAUGAUACAUUACUGCAUAUUUUUACAAUAUAAAUGAAAUAUCUUUACUGUUAUAAUUUCAAGGUUGUAACUGUCGUAGAGAACUGUUGUAACAGUAAAUGUUACGAGAAAGUACCAUUUGAAAACUAAGUCGAAGCAUUUGAUGCUUUUUAUUCCGGUCAAUCAAAAAGCCUUCAAGAUGCCUAUUUGGCUCGUUCUAUUGAAAAGUGUUAUGGUCCUAAAAAAAGAACUGUUGAAAACGUAAAAAAACCAAGAGAACAUUCGUGGAAUUAUUCAAUUUUUGUUGGGGCACUUAACCUCCUGAGACCUGAAGCUCCAUAUGAUUCUGUUCGAUUAGAGACCGAAGUGACUAAUACUAGUACAUUGGGAAGGUCAGGCUUGAGACCUGACCUUUUUCGUUAUCAAACUAGAAGUAUGACCGAAGUGCCUAGUAUUAGUCAGUCAACUUCAAAAUUCAGUAUCACACUUAAUGUUUGCAAAAGCAAGCACUAGGUAGCACCACUGCAUAGCUGGCCAUCUACUUUACCGUUCUAGUUUGCUCCAUCGCCACUAGAGCACUUUCAAUAGGAGACACAGCCACGUUGACAUCAUGGCGUCAGGUGACAGGGAAGCUUCUUCGCCAAUAUUGAAUUGCAUUUAAGAAGCAAAAAAGGAAGAGCACGAGCAGUACAGAAGAGCAGCCUGGUAUGUCAAAGAACAAAAAGUUGAAAAAGGAAAAACCGGUAAAUUCUCAAUGGACAUGAGGUAAAUUUUCUCCUGAAACUAUCAGCCUACACCAACCUGCUUACAUUGUACAGAACUGUAAUGAUUGGGAUUAUGACAAAUAUGUCUCUCAAUAUUUUGAUGAUGAGUUUUUAUAGACUAUUGUGGAAAAAAGUAACCAAAGUUUCUUACAACGAAAAGGAACACUUUUGAAUUUAACCUUAAGAGAAUUCAAAACUUGGCUAGGAAUUAAUUUUGUUAUGGCGACAAUACAGAUGCCAAAAAUCAGAAUGUUUUGGGAAAAGCAAUGGCGAGUUUCUGUUAUAGCAGAUGCAAUGGUGAGAGAUAGAUUUUUUCAACUAAGAAGCAACAUUAAAAUCGUAUAUGAUGAUGAUAUUUCUAAAGAACAAAGAACAAAUGAUAGGCUGUGGAAGUUGAGACCUCUUAUUGAUAGAGUUUUGCAAGGUUGUCAGAAACAAAAUAAAAAUCAGGAACUUUGCGUUGAUGAAAUGAUGGUUCCAUUUACUGGUACAUGCAAUCUCAAACAAUACAUUCCAAAUAAGCCGAAUCCUCUCGGAAUUAAGAUUUUCGUGCUAGCAAACCCAAAUGGAAUCAUAUGUGAUUUCAUAGUUUAUCAAGGAGGAAAUACUUUCCAUAAAGAUCUCACCAAAGAUUUCUGGCAAUGUGAAUGUGCU
This 1609-nucleotide unclassified non-coding RNA is filed under the name Nilaparvata lugens (brown planthopper). Its description in RNAcentral is "uncharacterized LOC111057400, transcript variant X1". The record is from RNAcentral. Lineage: Eukaryota; Metazoa; Arthropoda; Insecta; Hemiptera; Delphacidae.